Molecule: ribosomal RNA, 460 nt
Filed under: uncultured bacterium
Lineage: Bacteria
Description: partial 16S ribosomal RNA
Rfam family: Bacterial small subunit ribosomal RNA
Source: RNAcentral
CCUACGGGUGGCAGCAGUGAGGAAUAUUGGUCAAUGGACGAGAGUCUGAACCAGCCAAGUAGCGUGAAGGAUGACUGCCCUAUGGGUUGUACACUUCUUUUAUAAGGGAAUAAAACGCGGCACGUGUGCCUUUUUGCAUUUACUUUAUGAAUAAGGAUCGGCUAACUCCGUACCAGCAGCCGCGGUAAUACGGAGGAGCCGAGCGUUAUCCGGAUUUCUUGGGUUUAAAGGGAGCGUAGAUGGGUUUUUAAGUCAGUUGUGAAAGUUUGCGGCUCAACCGUAAAAUUGCAAUUGAUACUGGCAGGCUGGAGUACAGUCGAGGUAGGCGGAAUGCGUGGUGUAGCGGUGAAAUGCUUAGAUAUCACGAAGAACCCCGAUUGCGAAGGCAGCUUACUAAGCUGUGACUGACAUUGAUGCUCGAAAGUGUGGGUAUCAAACAGGAUUAGAUACCCUGGUAGUC